UACGUAGGGGGCAAGCGUUGUCCGGAAUCAUUGGGCGUAAAGAGCGUGUAGGCGGCCCGAUAAGUCCGCCGUGAAAGUCCAGGGCUCAACCCUGGAAUGCCGGUGGAAACUGUCGGGCUGGAGUCCGGAAGAGGCGAGUGGAAUUCCUGGUGUAGCGGUGGAAUGCGUAGAGAUCGGGAGGAACACCAGUGGCGAAGGCGGCCCCCUGGGCCGGGCCUGACGCUGAGACGCGAAAGCGCGGGGAGCGAACGGG
Molecule: ribosomal RNA, 253 nt
Filed under: uncultured bacterium
Lineage: Bacteria
Description: partial 16S ribosomal RNA
Rfam family: Bacterial small subunit ribosomal RNA
Source: RNAcentral